RNAcentral lists this ribosomal RNA (164 nucleotides) under Senecio cryphiactis. Its description in RNAcentral is "5.8S ribosomal RNA". It matches the Rfam family "5.8S ribosomal RNA". Rfam says of the family: 5.8S ribosomal RNA (5.8S rRNA) is a component of the large subunit of the eukaryotic ribosome. It is transcribed by RNA polymerase I as part of the 45S precursor that also contains 18S and 28S rRNA. The record is from RNAcentral. Lineage: Eukaryota; Viridiplantae; Streptophyta; Magnoliopsida; Asterales; Asteraceae.
UAAACGACUCUCGGCAACGGAUAUCUCGGCUCACGCAUCGAUGAAGAACGUAGCAAAAUGCGAUACUUGGUGUGAAUUGCAGAAUCCCGUGAACCAUCGAGUUUUUGAACGCAAGUUGCGCCCGAAGCCUUUUGGCCGAGGGCACGUCUGCCUGGGCGUCAAAC